This 242-nucleotide ribosomal RNA is filed under the name uncultured soil bacterium. RNAcentral describes it as "partial 16S ribosomal RNA". It matches the Rfam family "Bacterial small subunit ribosomal RNA", at positions 26 to 296 of the family's 1533-position model. The record is from RNAcentral.
AGAGCGAACGCUGGCGGCAGGCCUAACACAUGCAAGUCGAACGGACCCUUCGGGGUUAGUGGCGGACGGGUGAGUAACACGUGGGAACGUGCCUUUAGGUUCGGAAUAGCUCCUGGAAACGGGUGGUAAUGCCGAAUGUGCCCUUCGGGGGAAAGAUUUAUCGCCUUUAGAGCGGCCCGCGUCUGAUUAGCUUGUUGGUGAGGUAAUGGCUCACCAAGGCUACGAUCAGCAGCUGGUCUGGA